GACGAACGCUGGCGGCGUGCUUAACACAUGCAAGUCGAACGCAGUGGCGAACGGGUGAGUAACACGUGAGUAACCUGCCCCCUUCUUUGGGAUAACGCCCGGAAACGGGUGCUAAUACUGGAUAGUGGGGGAUGGGCUCGCGGCCUAUCAGCUUGUUGGUGGGGUGAUGGCCUACCAAGGCUUUGACGGGUAGCCGGUCUGAGAGGAUGAACGGCCACAUUGGGACUGAGACACGGCCCAGACUCCUACGGGAGGCAGCAGUGGGGAAUCUUCCGCAAUGGACGAAAGUCUGACGGAGCAACGCCGCGUGAGUGAUGACGGCCUUCGGGUUGUAAAGCUCUGUUAAUCGGGACGCGGUACCGGAAUAGAAAGCCACGGCUAACUACGUGCCAGCAGCCGCGGUAAUAC
RNAcentral lists this ribosomal RNA (408 nucleotides) under uncultured bacterium. Its description in RNAcentral is "partial 16S ribosomal RNA". It matches the Rfam family "Bacterial small subunit ribosomal RNA", at positions 28 to 526 of the family's 1533-position model. The record is from RNAcentral.